This 387-nucleotide ribosomal RNA is filed under the name uncultured bacterium. Its description in RNAcentral is "bacterial SSU rRNA". It matches the Rfam family "Bacterial small subunit ribosomal RNA", at positions 28 to 413 of the family's 1533-position model. The record is from RNAcentral.
GACGAACGCUGGCGGCGCGCCUAACACAUGCAAGUCGAGCGAGAAAGCAGGAGCAAUCUUGUGAGUAAAGCGGCGUACGGGUGAGUAACACGUGGAUCAUCUACCUCUUUGUGGGGAAUAACCCUGGGAAACCGGAGCUAAUACCGCAUAAGUCCGAGAGGAGAAAGCGUCUUUGUGAAAGCAAAGCCGCGCAGAGAGAGGAGUCCGCGGCCGAUUACGUUAGUUGGCAGGGAAAAGCCUACCAAGACAAAGAUCGGUAGCCGGCCUGAGAGGGCACACGGCCACACUGGCACUGAAACACGGGCCAGACUCCUACGGGAGGCAGCAGUGGGGAAUCUUGCACAAUGGGGGCAACCCUGAUGCAGCGACGCCGCGUGAGCGAUGAAG